RNAcentral lists this non-coding RNA (28 nucleotides) under Mus musculus (house mouse). The record is from RNAcentral. Lineage: Eukaryota; Metazoa; Chordata; Mammalia; Rodentia; Muridae.
UGGGAUUAAAGUCAUAUGCCACCACGGC